GGGCCCGUAGCUCAGCCAGGUUAGAGCGGCAGGCUCAUAACCUGACGGUCCCCGGUUCGAAUCCGGGCGGGCCCACCA
This 78-nucleotide transfer RNA is filed under the name Candidatus Bathyarchaeota archaeon. RNAcentral describes it as "tRNA-Ile". It matches the Rfam family "tRNA". Rfam says of the family: Transfer RNA (tRNA) molecules are approximately 80 nucleotides in length. Lineage: Archaea; Thermoproteati; Candidatus Bathyarchaeota. RNAcentral also lists the same sequence under 1 other name. The record is from RNAcentral.